GAGAAACUAUCAAAUCUAUGUAUUGAGGUUCAAAAAUAUAUAGAAAUAGUCUGCACAACAGUGCCAAAGACACUUAAGUGAGGUUUAGAUAAUGGUUGGUAAGCUACAAAAAACAGAUUUAACUUUGAAUGGAUAUUUGGCAUUAGCUUAACAUGAAAUUGUUGCAAUUUGUGGCCAUUUUUGAAACUUAUGCAGAACUAGUGUUAUUUUUCAAAUCAAAGGAAUUUUAUA
RNAcentral lists this unclassified non-coding RNA (231 nucleotides) under Hevea brasiliensis (rubber tree). Lineage: Eukaryota; Viridiplantae; Streptophyta; Magnoliopsida; Malpighiales; Euphorbiaceae. The record is from RNAcentral.